This is a non-coding RNA of Elaeis guineensis (African oil palm), 1149 nucleotides long. The record is from RefSeq and is a predicted model, not a curated record. NCBI's taxonomy places the organism in Eukaryota, Viridiplantae, Streptophyta, Magnoliopsida, Arecales, Arecaceae.
UUUUCUUUUUCAUCCUGCUGCGUUUGCUUUUGCUUUCCAUAUCUGUGUCAAUCUGCGUGCUGGUUUACCAUGGGCUGCUUUGUGGAUGGAGAAAAUGGUGAGCUCAGAGAAGAAUUAGGCAUUACUCUUCCCUAACCUUUCUCUAAAGAAAGUCACUAGAGAAAAACGCUGGUUUUUAUUAAAUUAUAAAGUGAAAGAAGACCUGUUGUUGCCUGUCAGAAGCUGAUUGGAAGGAGUGCCAAAGAAAAAUUCCCUCUUUCACUCACCUCCAUGAGUAAAUGCUGCGAGCCAGGUAGGCACAGGCUUUUUUGGGCUGGGUCCUCUCGAACCCAAUGCAGAUGGGCAGGGCUAUGGAAUUGUAGGGAGAAAUUUUGUUCCAUGGGGGCAGUGAAAGACUUUUCCAAAACUUGGAAGUGGCUUGAAGGUGCUGCCCUUUUUGUGUGUGUGAAUACUUUGGAGGUGGCAUCAUGGCUCAGUCAACUUUGUGAGUGUGUGAUGGUGGCAGGAGAGGAAAAAGUGUUGGCUGAGGAUGGCAGCUGUUGAUGUCCCCAAAGCACUUUGCUUGUGCUCAGAGCCCAUCAUGUCCCCUUCCUUAUGAUGGUUGAGAAGAGCUUUUCUACGGGACCGGAGAGGAAGCCACAAACAUUGUGACGGGGAAAAGCAAAACCUACCCCCAUUGUGAGGUGCGAGAGCUUUGACAUCUCCCGAAGGGCAAGAAGGUGGUAACUCUCAAGGCCUCAAUCCUUGGUUGGCCCCGGCCAAUGAGGUGCUGCGUCGCCAAGCUGCUCCACCCGUUUUAAAGUACAAGAAGAUGGACGAUACGUAGCAAACUCCCAUGUGACUCCAACUUGUAUCAAACUCAUUGAUUUUGGAGCGUGGGAGGAGAGCUCCAUGCAAAGGCCAAUAUAACCGAAUGGAUACAAAGCUAGGUGCACCGGCCAGGAUCCACCGAGGUAGGCAUCGUAUUUAGUUAGUCCGUCCUUUUCCAGGGGUUCUCUUUGGCUAGGAGAGAAGGGAGAUGGCUCAAGAUCAAAGCAUGCUUUAUAAUAAUACAAACAUACUUGUAACUUGGGGCAGCUGUUCUUCUUUACCAAAUUUGUAACAGCCGUCCUAUCAUUGCUUAUCUAAACAAAAAAUCAGAAUUGUCUA